Molecule: small nuclear RNA, 219 nt
Filed under: Neotoma lepida (desert woodrat)
Lineage: Eukaryota; Metazoa; Chordata; Mammalia; Rodentia; Cricetidae
Description: 7SK RNA
Rfam family: 7SK RNA
About the family: 7SK was discovered as an abundant small nuclear RNA in the mid-70s but a possible function has only recently been suggested. Two independent studies have found that 7SK RNA binds the CDK9/cyclin T complex (known as elongation factor P-TEFb).
Source: Rfam by way of RNAcentral
AAAUGGGUGNGUAACCCCAUCCUCNNUCAUGUGCCUCCCUCNCAAAGAUGUGUGUUCAGUGGAAGCAGACGACCAUUCCCCAUAGAGGAGAACCAAUCUUUGGUCAAGAGUCGUGUGAGCAGCUGGGCUCCCCUUCAAACAAGCUNUCAAAAAUCUGAUAAGAUUGACUGGGAAAGCAGCUGACUGAAGGGAUUUCCCAGGGGUUAUGAACACCUACAG